Molecule: ribosomal RNA, 1046 nt
Filed under: Akanthomyces dipterigenus
Lineage: Eukaryota; Fungi; Ascomycota; Sordariomycetes; Hypocreales; Cordycipitaceae
Description: SSU rRNA
Rfam family: Eukaryotic small subunit ribosomal RNA
Source: RNAcentral
CAGUCUAGUAUAGCAUUAUACAGCGAAACUGCGAAUGGCUCAUUAUAUAAGUUAUCGUUUAUUUGAUAGUACCUUACUACUUGGAUAACCGUGGUAAUUCUAGAGCUAAUACAUGCUAAAAAUCCCGACUCCGGAAGGGAUGUAUUUAUUAGAUUAAAAACCAAUGCCCUCUGGGCUCCUUGGUGAUUCAUAAUAACUUUUCGAAUCGCAUGGCCUUGCGCCGGCGAUGGUUCAUUCAAAUUUCUUCCCUAUCAACUUUCGAUGUUUGGGUAUUGGCCAAACAUGGUCGCAACGGGUAACGGAGGGUUAGGGCUCGACCCCGGAGAAGGAGCCUGAGAAACGGCUACUACAUCCAAGGAAGGCAGCAGGCGCGCAAAUUACCCAAUCCCGAUUCGGGGAGGUAGUGACAAUAAAUACUGAUACAGGGCUCUUUUGGGUCUUGUAAUUGGAAUGAGUACAAUUUAAAUCCCUUAACGAGGAACAAUUGGAGGGCAAGUCUGGUGCCAGCAGCCGCGGUAAUUCCAGCUCCAAUAGCGUAUAUUAAAGUUGUUGUGGUUAAAAAGCUCGUAGUUGAACCUUGGGCCUGGCUGGCCGGUCCGCCUCACCGCGUGCACUGGUCCGGCCGGGCCUUUCCCUCUGUGGAACCCCAUGCCCUUCACUGGGUGUGGCGGGGAAACAGGACUUUUACUUUGAAAAAAUUAGAGUGCUCCAGGCAGGCCUAUGCUCGAAUACAUUAGCAUGGAAUAAUGAAAUAGGACGUGUGGUUCUAUUUUGUUGGUUUCUAGGACCGCCGUAAUGAUUCAUAGGGACAGUCGGGGGCAUCAGUAUUCAAUUGUCAGAGGUGAAAUUCUUGGAUUUAUUGAAGACUAACUACUGCGAAAGCAUUUGCCAAGGAUGUUUUCAUUAAUCAGGAACGAAAGUUAGGGGAUCGAAGACGAUCAGAUACCGUCGUAGUCUUAACCAUAAACUAUGCCGACUAGGGAUCGGACGAUGUUAUUUUUUGACGCGUUCGGCACCUUACGAGAAAUCAAAGUGCUUGGGCUCCA